GAUGAACGCUGGCGGCGUGCCUAAUACAUGCAAGUCGAGCGAACAGACGAGGAGCUUGCUCCUCUGACGUUAGCGGCGGACGGGUGAGUAACACGUGGAUAACCUACCUAUAAGACUGGGAUAACUUCGGGAAACCGGAGCUAAUACCGGAUAAUAUAUUGAACCGCAUGGGUCAAUAGUGAAAGACGGUUUUGCUGUCACUUAUAGAUGGAUCCGCGCCGCAUUAGCUAGUUGGUAAGGUAACGGCUUACCAAGGCAACGAUGCGUAGCCGACCUGAGAGGGUGAUCGGCCACCCUGGAACUGAGACACGGUCCAGACUCCUACGGGAGGGAGCAGUAGGGUAUCUUCCGCAAUGGGCGAAAACCUGACGGAGCAACGCCGCGUGAGUGAUGACGGUCUUCGGAUCGUAAAACUCUGUUAUUAGGGAAGAACAAAUGUGUAAGUAACUAUGCACGUAUUGACGGUACCUAGUCAGAAAGCCACGGCUAACUACGUG
RNAcentral lists this ribosomal RNA (497 nucleotides) under uncultured bacterium. Its description in RNAcentral is "partial 16S ribosomal RNA". It matches the Rfam family "Bacterial small subunit ribosomal RNA", at positions 28 to 507 of the family's 1533-position model. The record is from RNAcentral.